AAAUUGAAGAGUUUGAUCAUGGCUCAGAUUGAACGCUGGCGGCAGGCCUAACACAUGCAAGUCGAACGGUAACAGGAAGAAGCUUGCUUCUUUGCUGACGAGUGGCGG
RNAcentral lists this ribosomal RNA (108 nucleotides) under Escherichia coli. Its description in RNAcentral is "partial 16S ribosomal RNA". It matches the Rfam family "Bacterial small subunit ribosomal RNA", at positions 1 to 101 of the family's 1533-position model. The record is from RNAcentral. Lineage: Bacteria; Pseudomonadati; Pseudomonadota; Gammaproteobacteria; Enterobacterales; Enterobacteriaceae.